This 810-nucleotide ribosomal RNA is filed under the name Nectria dematiosa. Its description in RNAcentral is "eukaryotic LSU rRNA". It matches the Rfam family "Eukaryotic large subunit ribosomal RNA", at positions 92 to 933 of the family's 3401-position model. Lineage: Eukaryota; Fungi; Ascomycota; Sordariomycetes; Hypocreales; Nectriaceae. The record is from RNAcentral.
AGUGAAGCGGCAACAGCUCAAAUUUGAAAUCUGGCCCUUGUGGUCCGAGUUGUAAUUUGUAGAGGAUGCUUUUGGUGAGGUACCUUCCGAGUUCCCUGGAACGGGACGCCAUAGAGGGUGAGAGCCCCGUCUGGUUGGAUACCGAGCCUCUGUAAAGCUCCUUCGACGAGUCGAGUAGUUUGGGAAUGCUGCUCUAAAUGGGAGGUAUAUGUCUUCUAAAGCUAAAUAUUGGCCAGAGACCGAUAGCGCACAAGUAGAGUGAUCGAAAGAUGAAAAGCACUUUGAAAAGAGGGUUAAAUAGUACGUGAAAUUGUUGAAAGGGAAGCGCUUGUGACCAGACUUGGGCUUGGUUAAUCAUCCAGGGUUCUCCCUGGUGCACUUGGCCAGCCCAGGCCAGCAUCAGUUUGUCGCGGGGGAUAAAGGCGUCGGGAAUGUGGCUCCCUCGGGAGUGUUAUAGCCCUUCGUGUAAUACCCUGCUUUAGACUGAGGUUCGCGCAUCUGCAAGGAUGCUGGCGUAAUGGUCAUCAGCGACCCGUCUUGAAACACGGACCAAGGAGUCGUCUUCGUAUGCGAGUGUUCGGGUGUCAAACCCCUACGCGUAAUGAAAGUGAACGCAGGUGAGAGCUUCGGCGCAUCAUCGACCGAUCCUGAUGUUCUCGGAUGGAUUUGAGUAAGAGCAUACGGGGCCGGACCCGAAAGAAGGUGAACUAUGCCUGUGUAGGGUGAAGCCAGAGGAAACUCUGGUGGAGGCUCGCAGCGGUUCUGACGUGCAAAUCGAUCGUCAAACAUGGGCAUGGGGGCGAAAGACUA